Long non-coding RNA from Olea europaea var. sylvestris, 1717 nucleotides. RefSeq lists it as uncharacterized. Lineage: Eukaryota; Viridiplantae; Streptophyta; Magnoliopsida; Lamiales; Oleaceae. The record is from RefSeq and is a predicted model, not a curated record. The transcript is spliced from 2 exons.
CUGGCAUAACUACUAUAGAUUAUGGUGCUACGAGACUGAAAAGGCGUGACUAACUGUGUAUAUUACCAUUAGAAAUUACUGAUUAUACCUUUUUCCCAUGGAAAUUCAUUCCUUCUGUUGUACAUGGGCCUCCUUUUCGGUGACAAAACAGACAGAAGUCGAUGAGUGUAAAUAUCACUCUUAUCUGGGCUAUUAUACAAAUGUUAGUGGCUCAGGUUGGAUUUGUAUUGAUCUUGCAUUGUUUUUGGCUUUUAAGACAAGUCCUGACAUUUCAUGGCAUUAUUGUUAAAAGAGAUUAAAAAGAAGAAAAACUCGCGCUCUGAGACGAAGUAAGCCAGACUAGCAACACCGGAAUAGAAAAGCAAAACAGCAGAAAAAACAUGCUAAGUUCACUCUAACGAACCAAUGGCUUGCUCGAGCAAAAAAGAACUGGAAGGACAACUCAGCUGACUUGAUUUCCGCUGCAGCUAAAACCACUUAACUCAAGCAAAGGAUUCUAAUUCAGAAACGACACACAACAGCUAUUGCAAGUUUUUGAAGGGCAUUUUUGAAUAUUCAACAUGUAGGAAUUCAUAUAUAAUAGGUUUGGCUCUAAUUCAAUUUAAAUAUUGAAUAUAAUUUGAAUUAUUUAAGAAGUAGAGUAGACACUCCAAAUAGAGAAAUAACCAAAUGUGUAUUGUGUAGUUCUUUAGCGCGUGAUUUAUUGGGUUAUUGCGCCAUUUAAUUAUUUAAGUUUGUACAGAAGGGGCAAAUUGUUUUUUCUAUUGCCUUUUUGCUAGAUAUCAUCUUAGAUAUUGACUUAAUUUCCCCCAGCAAGAAGUAACAAAUCUUUGGUUUUCAUAGCUCUUAUUAUGAAUGAUGGAGGUUUAAACAAGUAGAAUAGUUUCUUUGAAUUGUUGUUGGGUAUUUUAGUAGUGAUGCGCAAAUAACCCCUAGGCAAUGAUGAAAAAUCGAGGUCCAUUUGUCUUCUUAGGCUAUAAGCCUAGAAUUGAAGAAUAUUAUAAGUCCACACCACAAUUGAUGUAAUCCAAUUGUGUUGGAUAUUUAGAGGAAAUCAGCCCAUUGGACUAAGUGCUCAAUACCCAACUUUAGAGAUAAUUUGAAAAUACGUGAGAUGGUUGCAAUGGUUAUAAUUCCCUUAUCCUGGGUAACCAAUUUCAGUGUUCUUGAAGUCUAUCUAGCCAACCCUUUCUGGGAAAUCUUGUUUUCCUUUGCCUAUAAAUUGAAGUCUCUUGGCCUCACUUUCUACACACCAAAACCGGCCUUUGCUUUGUACAUUUCUGAAACCUAGUUUCUGCCUUUGUGUGCUUCUCCCUGUGAUUGCAAGUCUCCAAUUGGUGUUGCCUUUGAGGUGUUGGAUUGAUUUUCUGAGCCGAGUUAAAAAGGGGAAAUUCAUUGUUCUUCAUUCUUCAAAUUUAGUUUUGAUUUGUCCCCCCUUUUUAUGUUAAUUCCAUAACUCACAUUUUGAUUUGUUCAAUUGUAGGUGGAAUUAGCAUCAACAGUUCAGAUUACCUCAUUUGGAUAGGAAAAAUCGGAGAUAUUUAUGUGAAGAACCAGAUAUUGUGUUGAUUGAACCAAGUGAAGAAACACAUGCACAUAGUUUGAAAGAUUGUAUGCUUGAAAGAUUGAAAGUAACAACUAUUCCUCCAAAAGGGUCUUUGACAGACGAACAACCUUUCAAGUGUUAUUCUUUCGAUGAAUAUGGAUUAUUGGUUAA